UAAUACGGGGGGAGCAAGCGUUGUUCGGAUUUACUGGGCGUAAAGGGCGCGUAGGCGGUCGAACAAGUCACUUGUGAAAUCUCUGGGCUCAACCCAGAGCGGCCAAGUGAUACUGUUUGACUGGAGUGCAGAAGGGGCCAUUGGAAUUCUCGGUGUAGCGGUGAAAUGCGUAGAUAUCGAGAGGAACACCAGCGGCGAAGGCGGAUGGCUGGGCUGACACUGACGCUGAGGCGCGAAAGCUAGGGGAGCGAACGGGAUUAGAUACCCCGGUAGUCCUAGCCUUAAACGAUGGAUGCUUGGUGUCCGAGGUGAUGAAGUCCUCGGGUGCCGGAGCUAACGCGAUAAGCAUCCCGCCUGGGGAGUACGGUCGCAAGACU
This 377-nucleotide ribosomal RNA is filed under the name uncultured bacterium. Its description in RNAcentral is "bacterial SSU rRNA". It matches the Rfam family "Bacterial small subunit ribosomal RNA", at positions 521 to 895 of the family's 1533-position model. The record is from RNAcentral.